RNAcentral lists this ribosomal RNA (598 nucleotides) under Miopontonia yongei. Its description in RNAcentral is "partial 12S ribosomal RNA". The record is from RNAcentral. Lineage: Eukaryota; Metazoa; Arthropoda; Malacostraca; Decapoda; Palaemonidae.
GUGCCAGCAGCUGCGGUUAGACAAAAACACCUAUAAGAGUUAUUUGGUUUGUAGUUACAUUACUAGUUAAUUAUUUAUAUUGUAAGGAUUGAAGGUGAAAUUUAUAAUUUUUUAAUUAAUGUGAAAUAAUUAACUACAUUUAGAAGCUAUUAACAUGUGGGUAAAGACUAGGAUUAGAUACCCUAUUAUUCCAUUUAAUUAAAUAUUAGCUUGAGUAGUAAUCAGUUAUAUUCUUGAAACUUAAAGGAUUUGGCGGUACUUUAGUCUAGUUAGAGGAAUCUGUUCUGUAAACGAUAUGCCACGAAGUAUCUUACUUCUUUUUGUAAUCAGUAUGUAUACCUCCAUUAUUAAGCAAUAUUUAAAAAUAUUUGUUGUAAUAAAUUUAUUAUCUAGUAUAUUAGGUCAAGGUGCAGCUAAUAUAGAAGUUGAAAUGGAUUACAUUGUUAUAUAAAUUCGGAUGUUAAUUUUAAAAUUUAUUAGAAGUUGGAUUUAAUUGUAUGCUUUUUUUAAUAAGGUAAGUUGAUAUUAGCUCUAGAGUAUGUACAUAUCGCCCGUCGCUCUCAUUAAUUAAAGUGAGAUAAGUCGUAACAAAGUAGGA